AGUAUAAGCAAUUAUACCGUGAAACUGCGAAUGGCUCAUUAAAUCAGUUAUCGUUUAUUUGAUAGUACCUUACUACUUGGAUAACCGUGGUAAUUCUAGAGCUAAUACAUGCUAAAAACCCCGACUUCGGAAGGGGUGUAUUUAUUAGAUAAAAAACCAACGCCCUUCGGGGCUUCUUGGUGAUUCAUGAUAACUUUACGGAUCGCAUGGCCUUGCGCCGGCGACGGUUCAUUCAAAUUUCUGCCCUAUCAACUUUCGAUGGUAAGGUAUUGGCUUACCAUGGUUUCAACGGGUAACGGGGAAUUAGGGUUCGAUUCCGGAGAGGGAGCCUGAGAAACGGCUACCACAUCCAAGGAAGGCAGCAGGCGCGCAAAUUACCCAAUCCCGACACGGGGAGGUAGUGACAAUAAAUACUGAUACAGGGCUCUUUUGGGUCUUGUAAUUGGAAUGAGUACAAUUUAAACCUCUUAACGAGGAACAAUUGGAGGGCAAGUCUGGUGCCAGCAGCCGCGGUAAUUCCAGCUCCAAUAGCGUAUAUUAAAGUUGUUGCAGUUAAAAAGCUCGUAGUUGAAACUUGGGUCUGGCUGGCAGGUCCGCCUCACCGCGUGUACUUGUCCGGCCGGGCCUUCCUUCUGGAGAACCUCAUGCCCUUCACUGGGCGUGUUGGGGACCAGGACUUUUACUUUGAAAAAAUUAGAGUGUUCAAAGCAGGCCUUUGCUCGAAUACGUUAGCAUGGAAUAAUAGAAUAGGACGUGCGGUCCUAUUUUGUUGGUUUCUAGGACCGCCGUAAUGAUUAAUAGGGACAGUCGGGGGCAUCAGUAUUCAAUUGUCAGAGGUGAAAUUCUUGGAUUUAUUGAAGACUAACUACUGCGAAAGCAUUUGCCAAGGAUGUUUUCAUUAAUCAGUGAACGAAAGUUAGGGGAUCGAAGACGAUCAGAUACCGUCGUAGUCUUAACCGUAAACUAUGCCGACUAGGGAUCGGGCGAUGUUCUUUUUCUGACUCGCUCGGCACCUUACGAGAAAUCAAAGUUUUUGGGUUCUGGGGGGAGUAUGGUCGCAAGGCUGAAACUUAAAGAAAAUUG
RNAcentral lists this ribosomal RNA (1083 nucleotides) under Plenodomus collinsoniae. RNAcentral describes it as "SSU rRNA". It matches the Rfam family "Eukaryotic small subunit ribosomal RNA", at positions 62 to 1155 of the family's 1831-position model. The record is from RNAcentral. Lineage: Eukaryota; Fungi; Ascomycota; Dothideomycetes; Pleosporales; Leptosphaeriaceae.